This is a non-coding RNA of Cucurbita pepo subsp. pepo (vegetable marrow), 877 nucleotides long. The record is from RefSeq and is a predicted model, not a curated record. Lineage: Eukaryota; Viridiplantae; Streptophyta; Magnoliopsida; Cucurbitales; Cucurbitaceae.
GAGUGGUCCAUGUUAUGGCCUUUCUAACCCUUUCUUUCAUCGUCUUCCUCUCAACAAAGACAUUCUUGUAAAUGUCUUCUUUCAAAGCGAGCUAGAGGUCCUAGCCAUGCUUUUCCACAGCUUUCUUGAACUUUCUUCCUCUUUUUUCAUUCAUCUUCUCAAUCAUUUCUAUGCAAAGUAAAAACCCUUUGGAAGUUCAUGAAAGCUGUGGGAGAACAUGGCAUUUCUAGGCCCUAAAUAUCCCCCAACUCUCUAUUCAUCACCCUUUAUGGUCACCCUAAUUUUCUUGUUCUCUACUUUCAGGUUUUCUCGAGCUAGGCGGAGAUUAACCCUCGAGUGCAAAACUAGAACGGGAGCUUGGCUGCAAGACCCACCUGUGAAAUCCCACAUCGAGAUGUUGGAGAGAAGAACAUAGCAUUUCUUAUAAAAUUGUGAGGUUAACAGCGAUACGCAACAGGCCAGGGCUUGGGCCGUUACAAAUGGUGUCACUGGGUGGUGUGGUAGCGAGAAUGCUGAGUCCCUAAAUGGUGGAUUGUGAGGUCCCACAUUGGUUAAAGAGGAGAACGAAAUAUUCUUUAUAAGAGUGUGGAAACCUCUUACUAAUAGCCAAAGUGGACAAUAUCUAUUAGCAGUAAUCUUGAGCUGUUACACACUCUGUGGAAGGGUCAUCACUAAUUCUCUUAUUAUCUACUUUCUUUAGAACGUAUUGUUGCAUGGUUGCUCAAAGCUUCAAAGAACUAAAAAACCCGAGAAGCCAUUCGAACCGAAUCGAACUAAACCUAAGCGGGUCGAGAGAGAGAGAUUCCUUUUUACCAUCAAUGAUAGAUGUUCAUUUUGCAUCUCCUACAUUUCUGUGAAAAACGUUAAAUAUUUGUCA